This 493-nucleotide ribosomal RNA is filed under the name uncultured bacterium. Its description in RNAcentral is "bacterial SSU rRNA". It matches the Rfam family "Bacterial small subunit ribosomal RNA", at positions 32 to 507 of the family's 1533-position model. The record is from RNAcentral.
CGGACAACGCUGGCGGCGUGGAUUAGGCAUGCAAGUCGGACGGUAGGGCUUUAUCGUAAGAUAGAGUUUGAGAGUGGCGAACGGGUGAGUAACACGUAGGAAUCUACCCUUAAGACGGGGACAACCCAGGGAAACUUGGGCUAAUACCGGAUGAGAGUGCGAGAGAUUGCAUUUAAAAGGACGGCGAAAGUUGUCGCUUAGGGAUGAGCCUGCGGUCUAUUAGUUAGUUGGUGAGGUAAGAGCUCACCAAGGCGAUGAUAGAUAGGCGGCCUUAACGGGUGGUCGCCCACACUGGGAUUGAGAUACGGCCCAGACUCCUACGGGAGGCAGCAGUGGGGAAUCUUCCGCAAUGGGCGCAAGCCUGACGGAGCAACGCCGCGUGGGUGAAGAAGGCCUUCGGGUUGUAAACUGCUUUUGUACGGAACGAAAAGCCUUCUUCUAAUACAGGAGGGUCAUGACGGUACCGUAAGAAUAAGCACCGGCUAACUACGUG